RNAcentral lists this unclassified non-coding RNA (187 nucleotides) under uncultured fungus. RNAcentral describes it as "sequence contains ITS1, 5.8S rRNA gene". Lineage: Eukaryota; Fungi. The record is from RNAcentral.
GUAUUUUGAAUUGUUUUAUUCAUAAUAUUUUUCAGACGAAUGUUGUUAAAGAUAUAGGUUGAUAUUUGUGAAGGGAAAGAGUUGCCUCUCUCCCAACAAACAUUGCACACAAGGUGGAUAUGGAUUUUUAAAGAGUGCCAUAAAACACUCAUUGUGAAUGAUCCUUCCGCAGGUUCACCUACGGAAA